Molecule: RNA transcript, 1876 nt
Organism: Xenia sp. Carnegie-2017
Lineage: Eukaryota; Metazoa; Cnidaria; Anthozoa; Malacalcyonacea; Xeniidae
Gene name: RING finger protein 151-like
Exons: 4
Source: RefSeq, a predicted model, not a curated record
ACGAUAGGAGUAAUAAAAGGAAAAUAUUGAGUGCUCAAUUGCGCCUGAAUUGCCAUAUAUCACCUUCAUAAACUUUCACAAAGUUGAUCCUAUGGAAGUUAUUGAUGGGGAUCAAUGUCAAAUAUUUUGAAGAUAAAGACAUCGAUGAACAGUUUAUUUGCUCUCAUUGUCACGGUGUUUUUGUUGAUCCGGUUCUUUGUACGUGUAAACAUGUCCUUUGCUGGGAUUGUUUCAAGAGCCGAAAGACUCAUUAUUUGGGGUGUUCCGUUUGCCUAAAGGACCUCAAAGUUUCUUCAGAACCUUUAAAAAGAGAAUGGCUAAAAAAAUUGGCCAGGCUACGAAUAAGCUGCCCAAAAGGCUGCGGUGAAAUUGUCACUUAUGAAUCUUAUAACCAUCAUCUCGUAAAGGAAUGUCCAUUUUCCAUGGUAUCUUGUACGAAUGCUGGCUGUACAAAAAAAGUACGUCGUUCAGACUUCACGGAGCACUUAACAACAUGCGCGUUUCGUUCGUCAACCUGUAGUUGUGGCGCUCAACUGACUUUCAUUGAUUUAAGACAACAUGAGUUGGUUCAAAGAUGCGAUUCUAAACAGAAUCUCCACCGCGUCGUACAAAAACGAAGAGAAAUGGUUCGAGCGACUCGAGAUCAUCGCAUAAAUUUGCGGCAACAAUCUUUUGCACUGGACAUUGAACGAAGACAAAUGUUGAAUUCAAAACAAUCAAAAGACCCUACGGUCAAUCGUUCACUACGCACUUUUAAACCCAAUUCAAGCUUGCAUCCGAAAAACAUAGAAAGAUCUUCUCAAAGUUCACAAGGAUUACACAUGAAAUCAAUUCAAACGUGUUGUCGUUGUGGAAAAAUGUAUGCAGAGAAAGCAAACAACGAGAGGUCGUGUUCUUGGCAUGUCGGGCCGAUUGCUGAUGUAUUUGUGAGUACACUCAAGUUCUCUUUAACAAAACAUUGAUGAGUUAAAUUCACAUAUUCCUCAAUUCUAAUAACUUUUCUUUUUUAUAUCCUUUGUUCUUCUUGGACAGGGGGUAAGCUUGUCAAGUUCAUGUGUAAUUUUUAAUGUCUAUUUUAUUCUCUUCUUACUUAUGUACACUUUUACUUACAUUGACUAGGGUAUGGUGAGUACUUCCUUUCUACAUGGAUAAAAUUCUCUGAAAUGGAAAUAUACACAGGCAGUGAAAAAGAACUGCUCAGGCUUUGUCUAGUCAAGUUGGAAAGUUAUGUUUAUCAUCCAUGCCAAGGAUUGCUUAACAUGAUGGAAAGCAAUGCAAAGCAAGUGGAGGCUCCAUGUCAAGCUUGUGGUAGAUUAAUCACUGCACGUGGCUGUGUAUCUGGGUUUCAUCAAAACAUGACAACAAUACAACCAUCUGUUUCACCUGUCACACUUAAUGAAGUUUAGUGAAUCAAACAAUUUAUCAAAACAUGAUGAUGAUGUUUACUGGAACACUUGGACGGUUUAUCAAUCAUACUCUUUAGCAGGGCUGGAAAAGCACCUGGGUGCAUGCAGUACAGCCAAAAAUUUUGUAUGAAAUAACUUGCACGAACUAUUUUGUAUGGCAGAAAAUUUUAAGUAUAUGAGUAGAUUUAGAAUAUAGGUUUAUUGAAACAAAAUACAGACUAUAUUAUAAUCUGUAUUUCAUGAAAAUACCAUUUAGGAACUCACAGGUACUGCUGACUGGGAUGUGUGAAGGCUUGUUUUCAAUAGUUAUUUAUCAAACAUUUCCAUAGGAACUAUUUACUUUUAAAAUUUGCUGUCAUGAAGUAAAUGACUCUAUCCAAAGCUUGCACUUUAGAGUAUGCAUUUGCUUUAAGUAUUGUGGCUAUACAAUAUAAAUUACACAUAAAAUCAGUCCAUGAUUUGGUCAGUAA